This 408-nucleotide ribosomal RNA is filed under the name uncultured prokaryote. RNAcentral describes it as "partial 16S ribosomal RNA". The record is from RNAcentral.
CCCUAUGGGGUGCAGCAGGGGGUGUCUCAAGCACUGCUAGCAAAGUUCAACGAUUGAAGAGAUUCACAAUGGCACAUUUGCUAUAACAGUUUCACUAAAUUGAUUCAACUCACUACUGUCCCGUUAAGCACAUCAUGAUUUCUUCCAACAUGAAGAAUUAAAAAGAGAUGAAAGCAAAUGUUGCAGGAAUCGAUUUGAAAUUACGGUUAUCCUCGCGGUCUCAUUCUUUGAUCUGGAGACCGCAUGAAUCAAGGACAAACCGUUUUCGCCCAGCUCAUGGAUCACUUGCCGCAGCAUCUCUUCGACCGUUGUGCCAGCCAGUUCGACGGGAAUCGGCGGAUCCGCUCCUUCUCCUGCUGGGACCAGUUUCUGUGCCUGGCCUUCGCCCAACUGAAUUGGCGGGGGGGC